This 554-nucleotide ribosomal RNA is filed under the name Psychrobacter sp. Its description in RNAcentral is "bacterial SSU rRNA". It matches the Rfam family "Bacterial small subunit ribosomal RNA", at positions 74 to 623 of the family's 1533-position model. The record is from RNAcentral. Lineage: Bacteria; Pseudomonadati; Pseudomonadota; Gammaproteobacteria; Moraxellales; Moraxellaceae.
AGAAUCUUGCUUCUCGCUGACGAGCGGCGGAUGGGUGAGUAAUACUUAGGAAUCUACCUAGUAGUGGGGGAUAGCACGGGGCAAACUCUUAUUAAUACCGCAUACGACCUACGGAAGAAAGGGGGCAGUUUACUGCUCUCGCUAUUAGAUGAGCCUAAGUCGGAUUAGCUGGAUGGUGGGGUAAAGGCCUACCAUGGCAACUAUCUGUAGCUGGUCUGAGAGGAUGAUCACCCACACCGGGACUGAGACACCGCCCCGACUCCUACGGGAGGCAUCAGUGGGUAAUAUUGGACAAUGGGGGAAACCCUGAUCCAGCCAUGCCGCGUGUGUGAAGAAGGCCUUUUGGUUGUAAAGCACUUUAAGCAGUGAAUAACACUCCAUGGUUAAUACCCAUGGACGAUGACAUUAGCUGCAAAAUAAGCACCGGCUAACUCUGUGCCAGCAGCCGCGGUAAUACAGAGGGUGCAAGCGUUAAUCGGAAUUACUGGGCGUAAAGGGAGCGUAGGUGGCUCUAUAAGUCAGAUGUGAAAUCCCCGGGCUUAACCUGGGAACUG